Sorex araneus (European shrew) is the source of this 107-nucleotide small nuclear RNA. Lineage: Eukaryota; Metazoa; Chordata; Mammalia; Eulipotyphla; Soricidae. The record is from Ensembl.
GUGCCCACUCUUCCAGCACAUAUGCUACAAUUGGAACAAUACAGAGAUGAUUAGUAUGCCCCCUUGCCUACAUAUGACAUGCGAUUAGCGAAGAAUUCUGUAUUUUU